ACGGAGAAGCAAUAAUUCUGUCACCAUGUGUUGUGGAAAGCAAUGAAACACUCACGUCACUGCAAUGUGAUAACUUUUGAUCAACCAAUCAAGCAAUAACUAUAUAUUAAAUAUGAUGAAAUGAAAUAAACUUGAAACGAUUGUCCUUUCAUCCAUUAUAGGUACUACUUAAGGUAGACGUACCAACUCAUGAUGAUGAUGAUGAUGAUCUCAUUUCUAGCUUCACCAAUCUACCGUGAAUCAUGGCAUUCAAAGUAGUUAAGCUAAAGGUAAUAAUAAUUCAACCAAACACAUAACCGCAAAGAAAAUCCAAAUUUAUAAGAUCUGUCAUAUUGCGAAUAUGGGUUACAUACAGCAAAUGAAAGAUGAGCAACUAUAAUACAUUUUAGAUUAGUGGGCGACAUUAGGACCUGUAUACAUGUUGGAUCAUAUGACCUGUGGAGAUGGCUCAUUAAUUUAGGGUGACAAAAGGGGUUGGUCCUAUUAAUUGGAUGUAUUCAAAUCCCCGUGAGAGCAGCAUCUGCAAAUCCAUCCGAAUUCUUGUGUGGAGAUGACACAGCCAUGAAUACUCUUGCUUUGGCUCUUAGUUAGGACCUUGCCAGUGAAAAAUGUGGAUGCCCUUUUUCACACUUGGUAGAUCCUUAGCAUAUUUGGGAAAACAUAACCCUAAUUUUCUUCAGGCAAAGCAACACGACAUCUCUUGGUUAAAUCAUCUUGCUUUAUGCAUUUUGUUCCUUAUUUGAUACAUAUAUAAAAGCUUCACCUAACCCAUAAGAUUUCAAAUAAUUGCUCCAAAGCUAGCAAGUAAGAGUGAGAGCUCGAUAUGAGAAAAGGAAAGGCAACAACACAAAACCUUGUGGUCCAUGCAGAACAAACCUUACCUUACCAUGUGUUUUGGGUUUCAUAGCUCUCAAUACUUGUGUAAAAGGAAAAACCAAUAAGAGAAAGCCUAGCUAUAUCAACUGAACGUACCUUAUUACACUCAACAAGUGAAAUAAUGGUAUGUAGCAAGAGACGGCAUGGCAGAUGAGAAACGGAUGCAAAGUAAUGAGGCUGCAAUGACUUAGUGAAAGUCACUCACGAAUGAGGCAGAUAUGAUAAAACGAUGUUUGACCCUAAUUGAAUCUCAGAAAUCUCAUGUAUAUAAAAAUGACUCGACUAUCUGAACGAUCUGUCACGUUAUCGAACGACACUAGUGUAUAGAUGUACAGAUCGAUAGGCACAUUGUAUCAUAUUUAGGAUGUUAAGAGUUUAAUCAGCUCUUAUGUUUUGAUGCAAAUUUAAGAAAAUAUAAACAUUCAUGUGCGCACACUGUAAAGAAUGCCUAAUUAAAUGAAGAACAUUAUCAUUAUAAACAAAAUAAUGAAAAGACAAGAAUCUAAUCUCUGCUGGCAUUAAUAAACAAUGUCAAACGUUAAAUACUGCUGAAUGAAUCAUAAAGUACAGAUGGAUCAGAGAGAACUACUUAUCCAGAAUGUUCUCUGAAGCAUCGAUCAGAAGGAGGGUGAAGAUUUCUCCCCAGAGGAACUGCAUGUGGAUGCAUUGUCACCGCUGAUACAACUCACAGAAAAAAAAAAUAUCAUCAAGUGCUACAAUAAUCUCACUAAUAAAAAUAUUUAAUUUGUAAUAUUGUAUUAUUAUAUAUGGAUCAUCACAUACAGAUCAGAUAGAGAAAUCAGAUCUCCAUGUAAUCCGAAACGCAAAGCUUGUAAAAGCCCCUUAUGAAGUAUUAGGGUUGAGAUAAUUUUUCAUUAUGGCAUGGUUUAGAAAAACACCCAUCAUCCACCACCUACUUCAAAAUCAUGAAAGACUGAAUUUUUAUGGGUACUGAGAAACAAAUCAAGUGACAAUUGUGCAAAGUGAGACAAAAUUUGAGUGAUUUAAAAUGUCUUUGUAAAUUGUAAGUUUAGGCUUCAUACCAAGAUAUAAAUAUAUAUAUGUGUGAUGCUGAAGAUCGGAUAGUGAUUUUUUAUUGAACCUAUCUGUAUCUUCCCACAGCUUUAUUGAACCGCAAGCCAGUUAGAGAGAGAGAGAGAGUGAGUGAGUGAGUGACUGCAGCCUCACAUGCAAAGAUCGAUCGAUCUCAUGGAUGCAGUUCAAGAAAGCUGUGGAAGAAUACAAAGAGGAUCAUCGUCUAUGGAGGAAAUGGAGAGAGAGGGAGAGAGAGAGAGAGAAAGAGAGAGUCACCAAAGCCACACCACACAUAGAGAGAUAAGAUGCUUAGAAGCUUCAACCAAUCAGAGCUCUAAUCUGAGAUGAGGCAGAAUUGUCAAAAAGCAGAGAUAACAACAAAAACAAAAAAAAAACCCAAAAAGGGAGUUGCAGAAGAAAGCAGGAAGGGUUCCUAGCCCUGUUUAGGCAGAAGAGGAGGAGGUUAGAGGUGUAGGUUUAGGAGAGGGGAGAUGUUGAUAUUUAUAGUAAAACUUGAGGGUUUUUCUUUCUUUUUUUUUUCUUUUUACCAUCAAUCCCAAGAAGAAUAUUGGGCCUGAGAUUUCAGUCACAGAACACCCC
This 2511-nucleotide long non-coding RNA is filed under the name Prunus persica (peach). Its description in RNAcentral is "long non-coding RNA (PPER_LNC007524)". Lineage: Eukaryota; Viridiplantae; Streptophyta; Magnoliopsida; Rosales; Rosaceae. The record is from RNAcentral.